This is a long non-coding RNA of Rattus norvegicus (Norway rat), 2782 nucleotides long. The record is from Ensembl. Lineage: Eukaryota; Metazoa; Chordata; Mammalia; Rodentia; Muridae.
GCAUAAUUAUCACAGACCUUUAAUCCAGCAUUCAGCUGAAGGCAGGCAGUAAGGCCAGACUGGUUUAAAUAGUUAAUUUGAGGCGAGCCAGGGUUACCUAUUGAGACCCUGUCUCAAGGGGGGAAAGUACUUUUGAGUAAUACAUGCCAGAUUAAAAUUUAAAAGGUACAAAGAGAAACACAGCAAACCAUAUGGCCCCCACCUCCAUUUCUUGGCAACCUAGAUCAGGUCCUUAGCAUUGUUUGUUUUCGCUGAGCUGUGUGGGGACUGAACGUGAUAAAGAAUAGUCACUGCUCAAAUACUGUGUGCUCCAGUUGCAGGCCUUGCUUAUUUAAUUUCUGAGGUUUCACCAAGUGGCCGAGACCUUGAGAUUCACCCAUCUCAGUUUCUUGAGUAUGGGGGAUUAUUGGCUUGUUCCAUCUGGACCUGUACGUCAGUUAUUUUGAGACAAUGUGCCUGUCUUGUACCUUAGCUUGUCUCAAACUAUGUACCAAAGACCUUGAACUUCUGUCCUCUUUCCCACACCUCCUAAGGGCCACUCCUAAUGUGCCUUUCUUUAUUUCUUCUCUCAUUUAUUUGUGAUUCAAGCCAACUAUUUCUUUCUUUCUUUCUUUCUUUCUUUCUUUCUUUCUUUCUUUCUUUCUUUCUUUUUUUUUUUUUUUGGAGCUGGGGACCGAACCCAGGGCCUUGCGCUCUACCACUGAGGUAAAUCCCCAACCCCAAGCCAACUAUUUCUAAUACUAGUUUUCUUGUGGUUUAUCUAGGUAGCACAUACCCUUUUAUCUCAGAAAUAGGGAACCAGAGUCAGGAGGAACUUUUUGAGUUUGGGGGUCAACCUGGUACACAUAGUUGAGUUCCAGGCCAGCUAGGGAUACAUAGAAAGAUGUCUCAAAACUUACAAAUAAACAACAUUAAAACUUUGUUUCACAGUCUCUCUUUUCUCACAGUGGGCAUUGAAAUCAGGGUCUUGUUAACACCAGGGAAAUGCUCCAGCAACUGAGCUAUGUCCUCUGUCCUGUUGUUUUACUUCUGACACUUUAAAUACCCUAUGUUGUGGGCAUAAUGUUACUGUGAACUGUGUAAGGAUUAAUCCUGCAUUAUUCAAAUGCUGAUUUCUGUACCCCCAUAUCUGGUUGCAAUCCUUAUUCUGAGGAUAUCUUGUCUCAAUGUUGUAAAUGUAAAUAUUGCUCCCCAAGUAUUCCUUCACUGGUCAAUGGAAAAGCUGAUUAGUCAAUGAUUGAUCAGGGGACAGAAUAGGGCUAGACUUUUUUUUGUUUUUUUUAAAAUCUGUUUUUCCUUUCAUCCCCUGUUCCCAGAAUAAUGAUUCUGAGACUUUUAUUAAUAAUUGUCUAGACCAAAGCUUUGGCUCAUUCCUUCACUCGUAACUUAUUUAAUCCAUUUAAACUACUCUGUCUACCACUUGGUUAGUUAGCUCUCUCUUACAUCCUGGCCUGCUUUUCUUCAAGUCUCCUCAGUGUCUUCCUCAAAUUUCUCGAAUAUCUGUGCCUUUUAUUCUCUAUUUUUCCAGAAUCUCUCUUCUUGCCAGUGUCCCACCUCUUAUUUUCUGUCUCAGCUCAUUGACCAAUGGCUUUUUAUUAUUAUUAUUAUUAUUAUUAUGAUGAUGAUGAUGAUGAUGAUGAUGUGAUUCUUGUAAGGAUUCUCUCUACACUGAACUUCCUCCUAGCCAGAGCAGGGGGUGGGGCAAGGAAAGAGUCCAAAAGAAAGCAAGAGAAAACAGCUUGAGCAGAGAAAGCCAGAAAAUGCAAAUGUCUCUGAGAUUUUGGCUAGGAGGCAGCAAGAUUACCUUAGAGGAUUAAAAUAAGAGUACUACUGCUCAGCUGUUGUGCCAUUAAAUCUUGAUAAAUAAAUAUAAAAGUUCCAUCUUGAUUAUUUGGAAGCUAACUGGGUAAGAGGAAAACUGUAACACACUUAUUAAAAAGCCACUAACACUAUGCUACUGAUUUUUUAUUAUAUUUUGAUGUAUGCCUAUGUACAUGUAUAUGUGUGGGUGUGCAUGCACCAUGGUGUUCAUGUGGAGAUUAGAGAAAAGUUUUCAGAAGCCAUUGGUUCAGGGGACCAACCUCAGAUCAUUACGUUUGGCAGCAAGUGCCUUUGCCCACAGUCAUCUUUAGAGCCCUUAUAUCUUUGUCAAUGAUGGCUCCAACGUCCUUGAGACAAGGUCUCACUGUGUGUCCCUGACUGGCACCAGCCCGACUCUGCUUCUGGAGUGCUUGGAUUAAAAGUGUGUGUCAGGGUUGGGGAUUUAGCUCAGUGGUAGAGCGCUUGCCUAGCAAGCACAAGGCCCUGGGUUGGGUCCCCAGCUCCAGAAAAAAAAAAAAAAAAAAGUGUGUGUCAUCUCACUCACUAUUGUAGCAGUGUAUAACCUUCUCUGCAACUCCAGUUUCAGGGAAUCUAACAUCUUGUCUCUGCAAGCACCAGGGACACAUGUGGUACACAUACAGGAAUGCAGGCAAACAUUUUAUAUUUGCCAUAUACACAAAAUAAAAAUAACUUUAAAAAAUCAAAACUAGAAUAGGAAGAUUCUUCCCCAUGGGGACAGAAAAGUGUCAAUGAGAAAAACCCUUUUGAAAACCAGUAAAAUGGGCUGGAGAGAUGGCUCAGCGGUUAAGAGCACUGAGUGCUCUUCCAGAGGGCCUGAGUUCAAUUCCCAGCAACCACAUGGUGGCUCACAACCAUCUGUAAUGAGAUCUGAUGCCCUCUUCUGGUGUGUCUGAAGACAGCUACAGUGUACUCAUAUAAAUAAAAUAACAUCUUUAAAAAA